GCCCCUGUAGUUCAACGGAUAGAACGAGGGCCUUCUAAGCCUUAAAUUGAGGUUCGAUUCCUCACGGGGGCA
RNAcentral lists this transfer RNA (72 nucleotides) under Patescibacteria group bacterium. RNAcentral's name for it is "tRNA-Arg". It matches the Rfam family "tRNA". From Rfam's summary of the family: Transfer RNA (tRNA) molecules are approximately 80 nucleotides in length. Their secondary structure includes four short double-helical elements and three loops (D, anti-codon, and T loops). The record is from RNAcentral.